CACCAGGAGAUUCCCUCGAGUGUCUACAGCA
This 31-nucleotide non-coding RNA is filed under the name Homo sapiens (human). Lineage: Eukaryota; Metazoa; Chordata; Mammalia; Primates; Hominidae. The record is from RNAcentral.